This 414-nucleotide ribosomal RNA is filed under the name Triticum aestivum (bread wheat). RNAcentral describes it as "partial small subunit ribosomal RNA". The record is from RNAcentral. Lineage: Eukaryota; Viridiplantae; Streptophyta; Magnoliopsida; Poales; Poaceae.
AUGAAGCAAAAGGUUCCUGCAAAGAGAAUUCCAAUGUCUAAGGCCAGAGCAUCUACUCAAGUCCCUUUGGGAUCUGAACCCAAAGAGGCUGCUGCAGAAGGGAAGAAAAGGAAGGAAAGGGUCAAGAAGACCAUGGCCAGAGUGAUUGGAAAUGCUUCCAUGAUGGAAGAGGAAGAGGAAGAAGAGGUUGCUGCACCAGCACCCAAGGCACAGAAGCUUAUGAGUGAUGCUAUCAGGACAGGGGCUGCUUCAUCAAAGCCCAAAGAAGCACCCAAAGCAGCCUCCAAGCCCAAGACUGCACUUAAGAGGAAUACCAGGAGUAUGCAAGCUGCUGAGAAGAACAAGGCCCCAGUGCCUGAAGUUGCUGCUGAUGAAGAUGAUGAAGGACAAGUCCUGAGAAAGCUCAAACCCUAG